UCUUUAUUUUUCAUUACUUUGACCUCCCAUAAUGUAAUGGUGCUAACUAACGGUUCAUUUUUGCAUUACUUCUUCCCUUUCCCUUGCGUUUCGGUCCACCACCACUACCCACAAACUAACAAUUGCUUCUAACAAUUGUCGACGCCACUGAAUCACUCAAGUUUUAUGCUGCAGACAGCUUGAUCUCCUACGCGAGUGUCGGCAGAUCGUGGCGAUUGUUUCCGAAGUAGCGAAGCAGAGUUUUAAGAAGAAAGGGAUGCACGCUCCUGCGUGGAGGAAGCGCGAUUACAUGCUCGCGAAGUAUUAGGGAGAAGGAGAAGCAACCCCCGUCCUCCUCUGUGCAAGUUGUCGUCACCGUCGCGGUGCCAGAAACGGUGUCCUACGGUGACGCGAUGUCGAUGGAGAGCAAUAGCAAUGAGUUGGAGCUGAGUUUUAGUGAGAAAAUGUCAUCGCAGCCUGAAUCCGAUGAGGUUAAGGCGGUGGCGACGACAUCGGUGUGGCAAUCGCAGGUGAAGCCGAAGAGUGUUGAGAGAGCUAGGGACUAAGAUUGUGACCGGAUUGGCUUCUCUACUUAAGGGCAAACCAUAGAACAAUUUUUUUGUUUUUUUUCUAAAUUCUGAAUCCGUUGAACUUGAUUUGGUGUUGUUGAGUUUGAAUCUGAAUAUAUCUUGAUUUCGUGUUA
Long non-coding RNA from Glycine soja, 682 nucleotides. RefSeq lists it as uncharacterized. The record is from RefSeq and is a predicted model, not a curated record. NCBI's taxonomy places the organism in Eukaryota, Viridiplantae, Streptophyta, Magnoliopsida, Fabales, Fabaceae. The transcript has 2 exons.